AUACGUAGGUGACAAGCGUUAUCCGGAUUUACUGGGCGUAAAGGGCGUGUAGGCGGUCUUGCAAGUCAGAAGUGAAAUUCCUGAGCUCAACUCGGGCGCUGCUUCUGAAACUGCAGGACUUGAGUGCUGGAGGGGAUAGCGGAAUUCCUAGUGGAGCGGUAAAAUGCGCAGAUAUUAGGAAGAACACCAGUGGCGAAGGCGACUUACUGGGCCGUAACUGGCGCUGAGGCGCGAAAGCGUGGGGAGCGAACAGGAUUAGAUGCCCUGGUAGUCCACGCGGUAAACGAGGAAUGCUAGGUGUAGGGGGUAUCGACCCCUCCUGUGCCGGAGUGAACACAAUAAGCAUUCCGCCUGGGGAGUACGGCCGCAAGGUUGGAACUCAAAUGAAUUGACGGGG
RNAcentral lists this ribosomal RNA (397 nucleotides) under uncultured bacterium. RNAcentral describes it as "partial 16S ribosomal RNA". It matches the Rfam family "Bacterial small subunit ribosomal RNA", at positions 523 to 918 of the family's 1533-position model. The record is from RNAcentral.